RNAcentral lists this ribosomal RNA (1775 nucleotides) under Meloidogyne arenaria. Its description in RNAcentral is "SSU rRNA". It matches the Rfam family "Eukaryotic small subunit ribosomal RNA". The record is from RNAcentral. Lineage: Eukaryota; Metazoa; Nematoda; Chromadorea; Rhabditida; Meloidogynidae.
UCUGGUUGAUCCUGCCUGAACUGAUGUGUUCAUUUCAAAGAUUAAGCCAUGCAUGUAUAAGUUUAAUCGUUUUAACGAGAAACCGCGAACGGCUCAUUACAAUGGCCAUGAUUUACUUGAUCUUGAUUAUCUAAAUGGAUAACUGUGGAAAAGCUAGAGCUAAUACAUGCACCAAAGCUUUGUCCUCUCGGAAAAGCGCAUUUAUUAGAACAAAACCACGCGGCUUCGGCUGCUUCUUGUUGACUCAGAAUAACUAUGCUGACCGCAUGGCCUUGUGCCGGCGGCGUGUCUUUCAAGCGUCCACUUUAUCAACUUGACGGGAGCAUAAUCGACUCCCGUGGUGGUGACGGAUAACGGAGGAUCAGGGUUCGACUCCGGAGAAGGGGCCUGAGAAAUGGCCACUACGUCUAAGGAUGGCAGCAGGCGCGCAAAUUACCCACUCUCGGCUCGAGGAGGUAGUGACGAGAAAUAACGAGAUCGUUCUCUUUGAGGCCGGUCAUCGGAAUGGGUACAAUUUAAACCUUUUAACGAGUAUCAAGCAGAGGGCAAGUCUGGUGCCAGCAGCCGCGGUAAUUCCAGCUCUGCUAAUACAUAGAAUUAUUGCUGCGGUUAAAAAGCUCGUAGUUGGAUUCGUAUCGGUACCCUGGAACCCUCCGGGUGUUUCUGGGUGUUAUCGAUUUAUCGUAAUGUUCGGUUUUGAGUCCUUAACAGGAUUCUUAACAGGCAUUGCAAGUUUACUUUGAACAAAUCAGAGUGCUUCAAACAGGCGUUUUCGCUUGAAUGAUCGUGCAUGGAAUAAUAGAAAACGAUUUCGGUUCUGUUUUAUUGGUUUUACGGACUGAGAUAAUGGUUAACAGAGACAAACGGGGCAUUUGUAUGGCCCCGUGAGAGGUGAAAUUCUUGGACCGUGGCCAGACAAACUACAGCGAAAGCAUUUGCCAAGAAUGUCUUCAUUAAUCAAGAACGAAAGUCAGAGGUUCGAAGGCGAUCAGAUACCGCCCUAGUUCUGACCGUAAACGAUGCCAACUAGCGAUCCGCCGAUGGAAAUUAUAUUGCCUUGGUGGGGAGCUUCCCGGAAACGAAAGUCUUCCGGUUCCGGGGAAGUAUGGUUGCAAAGCUGAAACUUAAAGGAAUUGACGGAAGGGCACCACCAGGAGUGGAGCCUGCGGCUUAAUUUGACUCAACACGGGGAAACUCACCCGGCCCGGACACUGUGAGGAUUGACAGAUUGAUAGCUUUUUCAUGAUUCAGUGGAUGGUGGUGCAUGGCCGUUCUUAGUUCGUGGAGUGAUUUGUCUGGUUUAUUCCGAUAACGAGCGAGACUCUAACCUACUAAAUAGCUGGUACAUAAUUUAAGUGUAUACAGCUUCUUAGAGGGAUUUGCGGUGUUCAGCCGAAAGAAAUUGAGCAAUAACAGGUCUGUGAUGCCCUUAGAUGUCCGGGGCUGCACGCGCGCUACACUGGCAAAAUCAACGUGCUUGUCCUACCCCGAAAGGGGCGGGUAAACCAUUGAAAAUUUGCCGUGAUUGGGAUCGGAAAUUGCAAUUAUUUUCCGUGAACGAGGAAUUCCAAGUAAGUGCGAGUCAUCAGCUCGCGUUGAUUACGUCCCUGCCCUUUGUACACACCGCCCGUCGCUGCCCGGGACUGAGCCAUUUCGAGAAAUUUGGGACCGUUGAUUUAAUUUUUCUAAAUUUCUUUGAUGGAAACCAAUUUAAUCGCAGUGGCUUGAACCGGGCAAAAGUCGUAACAAGGUAGCUGUAGGUGAACCUGCUGCUG